This 460-nucleotide ribosomal RNA is filed under the name uncultured bacterium. RNAcentral's name for it is "partial 16S ribosomal RNA". It matches the Rfam family "Bacterial small subunit ribosomal RNA", at positions 338 to 795 of the family's 1533-position model. The record is from RNAcentral.
CCUACGUGAGGCAGCAGUGAGGAAUAUUGGUCAAUGGGCGCGAGCCUGAACCAGCCAAGUAGCGUGAAGGAUGACUGCCCUACGGGUUGUAAACUUCUUUUAUAAAGGAAUAAAGUGAGGCACGUGUGCCUUUUUGUAUGUACUUUAUGAAUAAGGAUCGGCUAACUCCGUGCCAGCAGCCGCGGUAAUACGGAGGAUCCGAGCGUUAUCCGGAUUUAUUGGGUUUAAAGGGAGCGUAGAUGGGUUGUUAAGUCAGUUGUGAAAGUUUGCGGCUCAACCGUAAAAUUGCAAUUGAUACUGGCAGUCUUGAGUACAGUUGAGGUAGGCGGAAUUCGUGGUGUAGCGGUGAAAUGCUUAGAUAUCACGAAGAACUCCGAUUGCGAAGGCAGCUUACUAAACUGCCACUGACAUUGAUGCUCGAAAGUGUGAGUAUCAAACAGGAUUAGAUACCCCAGUAGUC